This 442-nucleotide ribosomal RNA is filed under the name uncultured bacterium. RNAcentral's name for it is "partial 16S ribosomal RNA". It matches the Rfam family "Bacterial small subunit ribosomal RNA", at positions 338 to 795 of the family's 1533-position model. The record is from RNAcentral.
CCUACGGGUGGCUGCAGUGGGGAAUAUUGGACAAUGGGCGCAAGCCUGACCCAGCAACGCCGCGUGAAGGAAGACGGCUUUCGGAUUGUAAACUUCUUUUGUCAGGGAAGAGUAGAAGACGGUACCUGACAAAUAAACCACGGCUAACUACGUGCCAGCAACCGCGGUAAUACGUAGGUGGCAAGCGUUGUCCGGAUUUACUGGGUGUAAAGGGCGUGUAGCCGGGUUGACAAGGCAUAUGUGAAAUCCUGAGGCUUAACCGGAGAACUGCAUUAGAAACUAUUGAGCUUGAGUACUGGAGAGGAAGACGGAAUUCCUAGUGUAGCGGUGAAAUGCGUAGAUAUUAGGAGGAACACCAGUGGCGAAGGCGGUCUGCUGGACAGCAACUGACGGUGAGGCGCGAAAGUGUGGGGAGCAAACAGGAUUAGAUACCCGGGUAGUC